This 879-nucleotide ribosomal RNA is filed under the name Escherichia coli. RNAcentral describes it as "partial 23S ribosomal RNA". It matches the Rfam family "Bacterial large subunit ribosomal RNA", at positions 2052 to 2925 of the family's 2925-position model. The record is from RNAcentral. Lineage: Bacteria; Pseudomonadati; Pseudomonadota; Gammaproteobacteria; Enterobacterales; Enterobacteriaceae.
UGUGAAGAUGCAGUGUACCCGCGGCAAGACGGAAAGACCCCGUGAACCUUUACUAUAGCUUGACACUGAACAUUGAGCCUUGAUGUGUAGGAUAGGUGGGAGGCUUUGAAGUGUGGACGCCAGUCUGCAUGGAGCCGACCUUGAAAUACCACCCUUUAAUGUUUGAUGUUCUAACGUUGGCCCCUAAUCGGGGUUGCGGACAGUGUCUGGUGGGUAGUUUGACUGGGGCGGUCUCCUCCUAAAGAGUAACGGAGGAGCACGAAGGUUGGCUAAUCCUGGUCGGACAUCAGGAGGUUAGUGCAAUGGCAUAAGCCAGCUUGACUGCGAGCGUGACGGCGCGAGCAGGUGCGAAAGCAGGUCAUAGUGAUCCGGUGGUUCUGAAUGGAAGGGCCAUCGCUCAACGGAUAAAAGGUACUCCGGGGAUAACAGGCUGAUACCGCCCAAGAGUUCAUAUCGACGGCGGUGUUUGGCACCUCGAUGUCGGCUCAUCACAUCCUGGGGCUGAAGUAGGUCCCAAGGGUAUGGCUGUUCGCCAUUUAAAGUGGUACGCGAGCUGGGUUUAGAACGUCGUGAGACAGUUCGGUCCCUAUCUGCCGUGGGCGCUGGAGAACUGAGGGGGGCUGCUCCUAGUACGAGAGGACCGGAGUGGACGCAUCACUGGUGUUCGGGUUGUCAUGCCAAUGGCACUGCCCGGUAGCUAAAUGCGGAAGAGAUAAGUGCUGAAAGCAUCUAAGCACGAAACUUGCCCCGAGAUGAGUUCUCCCUGAGACUUAGAGUCUCCUGAAGGAACGUUGAAGACGACGACGUUGAUAGGCCGGGUGUGUAAGCGCAGCGAUGCGUUGAGCUAACCGGUACUAAUGAACCGUGAGGCUUAACCUU